UGCGGAGAUAGAAUGGUGUGA
RNAcentral lists this unclassified non-coding RNA (21 nucleotides) under Chlamydomonas reinhardtii. RNAcentral's name for it is "small RNA Cre_3110". Lineage: Eukaryota; Viridiplantae; Chlorophyta; Chlorophyceae; Chlamydomonadales; Chlamydomonadaceae. The record is from RNAcentral.